Sciurus carolinensis (gray squirrel) is the source of this 2624-nucleotide long non-coding RNA. RefSeq lists it as uncharacterized. The transcript has 3 exons. The record is from RefSeq and is a predicted model, not a curated record. NCBI's taxonomy places the organism in Eukaryota, Metazoa, Chordata, Mammalia, Rodentia, Sciuridae.
ACAUAUUUUCAGGUUCAGGGAAGACAGAUUACUGAGCAAGCAGGCAGUUUGAGAGGCAUGUGGAAACCUUCUGGGGCACAGGGACAACUGACCUUCAGUGAUCACACGGCAGUGUGAGAGGCCUGUGGAAAAUUACAGAGGUGUAGGGAAGACUGAUUAAGCUGAGCCAGCAGGCUGUGUGUGAAGCUCAAGGCAAGCUACUGGGGUGAAGGCCAGACUGACAUGGCUGGACAUUCUGGCAAUGUGAAGUGAUUCCAGACAUCUGUGGUGCAGGGAAGACUGAACCACCAUCAAGAGGAUGGCAGUGGGAGAGUUAUGUUGACACCUUUUCAAGUGUAGGUAAUCAGACUGAGGUCCAUCUCCAGGGGAGGUUUUUCCUGCAGUGGUGACUGGGAUGUGGAAGACCAUGGAAGUGAAAAGACUGACUACAUCAAAAGUCAUUGAUCACUUCCAGAACCUGGAUGCCAGAUCUGCACUGAGUGGGAGGCAGAUGGAUCAGCACUUGAGGUCCAGGGCACACAACCUGAGCUAAGGGCUCAGCUUGGCCACUUUGCUCAGAAAGCAGAAGAUGCAGCCCUGUCUGAAGCAGAAUUUCCACAGUUCUUUGGAACCUGUUAUUUUUACCAAUGCAGCUGCACUGAUGAGUGGAUGGGUCCCUCCUGGACACAUCCCAAAGAAAGCUGUUUUCAGAGAUGUGAUGCUGGACAUCAGUAUAACCUCUUUGGUCUCCCUUCACUCACUCACUUGACAGAUGUGUAGGGUCAUGCCCCAUUCCUAACUCUGAGUUUGUCAUAUCUCUCACAACUACCACAGAGCAACAUGCUGGUUCACCUCUGACUUGUGUAAUUUUUCAUCCUGCUAGAAUGCAGUUCUCAUGACCACAACUUCACACCUCUUGCUACUCAAUCUACACCACUCAGAACAGUGCUGGUUAUUCAAUAUAUGCAGGGAUAAUUGAAUAUUAAUUUUUAAAAAGUAGUCCUUCUGCUGCAAAGACUGUGGUUAUCUUAGACCUUAGGAAUGGAAACAAUGUCAUAUUCUUCCCCAUGUAGAACCUGGAUUCUGAUAUGAAAGACUUCAGGUAGGUUUCAUGUCAGAAAAUUGAAUCUGGUAAAAUUCUAAACAUGAUUGAGGCACAUUUCAGGAAAGAAGCCAAAUUUUGACCAAAGACUUGCAAUUUUAAUGGGCAUAUGGUACUAAGGCUCAAUUGUGUUGUUAUUUGGGAGUAUUGAAUGCACAUUUUGAAAAAAGUAAUAAGAGCUAAAAUGAAACUCAAUCCAUUAUUCCUAACUAGUACAUAAGCAGUAAAUUUUGCUAAAAAUAAAUUUUCUUGUCAAGUUUUAAUAUUUUAUUCAGUACUAAACACAUAUUUAGGCCAAUCAGAAAAUAACUUAGUGUAAUGUAAAGAAUUUAGAAAACUGAAUCUCACACCUAACUUUGAUAACAAUGGUAUAUGUGUAAAUUGCAAUGUUGAAAACCAAAGGUGGAUUAUAAAAAAAAUCCCUUUAUGAGUAAGACCUGAUAACAUAUGCAUAAAUGUCAUCCUUUUAGAAUGCCAUUAAAUAUUAGAAUAAAACAUUAGUAAUUCGGAAUGAAUUUAUUUAAUUUUAAGAAGAAGUUAGUUCUGAAUGACUUUGGGUACAUCAGGAAGAAAAUUUCCCAGAAACUAUGGAGCAGAUACUCCCUACAAUGGAUGUCUUUUGCAAAGAGUGAUGUGGGGGCCCUGACCCUGGAAACUGACUUGAGGGUUUAGCAAUUACAUGUGAAACCUGGUGAGAAUAUUGGCUAUCAUUUAUUCAGAGUUGAUGAUAUCAUCAGCCAGUCCCUGAAUCCAUUUUCAUAGAAACUUUUGAUAAAUAACUCAAACUAAGAAGGCACACUGCCAAGAAGUUACAUGGGGGGGGCACAUUCUCACAAGUUAAUGUUUAUGAACUUGAGUCUAUAUGCUGAAUCAGUGUUUCUGGACUUGAUGAUUCAUUACAUAGCUAGUUCCCUACCCUGGCUAUACACUGAGAACAUAACUUAGUUCACUGGACAUCUCCAGGUGAGAAUCUAACUACAGACAUGUUUGGACCUGCCUAACACCAAGCAGCUCUUGUCACCAGGAUAGAGCAGUCAACAGGAACCAAAGAGCACACAGAAGACUGAAGGUUGUUGGGGGUCCUACUUUGAGAGUGCCUUAGCACUUAAACUAAGUGACGCACAUCAGUGAUAACUUACCUUGACUCCUGGAAAUUGCUAUUUGGCAAAGAAGUGAGAGCAGGUGACAGAGAACCUGAUCAUCUCUAUUUCCCAGUCACCUCAGUCAUGAAUCCCAACUCACAAGCCCCUCUCAGAAACACAGGCAGAGGCUGAGGAGCACAGGUGUAUUUCUUCUGUGCUUGGAUGCAUAGAAGUUUGCAUGCAUUUGGCAAUAGGAACCCUGUAUCACACAGGGAAACAAAGAACUGAAUGUGCUUUUAUCAUUUCUGUAAGAGUUAUUUUGCUGAAUGCAGUGGUGCUUGACUGUAAUCCCAGUGGUUUGGGAGGCUGAGGCAGAAAGACCACAAAUUUAAUGUGAACCUCAGCAACUUAGUGAGGCCUUAAGCAACUUAGUAGGACCCUGUCUCUAAAUAAAAAGUGAC